Molecule: long non-coding RNA, 404 nt
Organism: Peromyscus eremicus (cactus mouse)
Lineage: Eukaryota; Metazoa; Chordata; Mammalia; Rodentia; Cricetidae
Exons: 2
Source: RefSeq, a predicted model, not a curated record
UUCUGCCAAAACACCAUGAAUGGCAUAGAGAUGAACUUCAAAGACACUAAGGAGGACACUCAUUUUCAGAAUAUUUAUGCUUCCUAACCAGAAGAAGAUCCUACCGCGUGGAGCUUUUUUGUGGGAAUCAAGUUCUCACACACCCAUGUAAAACCAGGGCAGAGCUUAGCCACAGGCUCUGCCCUGGACUUUGAAUCUGGAGCAAGUGAUGUAAGGCAAGGGAAGGUCUGGGAUCACUCCUGGGGGAGUUGGACAUCAGCAUGAAGUCACUGCUAGUCUUGUGCUGAACACUCAUAAUGAGGAUAAACUAAUAUUUUUCUUUGUUUUUCAUAUAUCAUAUUAACUUUAAAAAAUAUGUAUUUCGUUAAGAUCAAAACAUGACAAUAAACCUGCAAAGCACCUCA